RNAcentral lists this ribosomal RNA (986 nucleotides) under Penicillium brevicompactum. Its description in RNAcentral is "SSU rRNA". It matches the Rfam family "Eukaryotic small subunit ribosomal RNA", at positions 59 to 1037 of the family's 1831-position model. Lineage: Eukaryota; Fungi; Ascomycota; Eurotiomycetes; Eurotiales; Aspergillaceae. The record is from RNAcentral.
GUGGGUUCUGGUCGUCUCAGGUUAGCAACUUGUACUGUGAAACUGCGAAUGGCUCAUUAAAUCAGUUAUCGUUUAUUUGAUAGUACCUUACUACAUGGAUACCUGUGGUAAUUCUAGAGCUAAUACAUGCUAAAAACCCCGACUUCAGGAAGGGGUGUAUUUAUUAGAUAAAAAACCAACGCCCUUCGGGGCUCCUUGGUGAAUCAUAAUAACUUAACGAAUCGCAUGGCCUUGCGCCGGCGAUGGUUCAUUCAAAUUUCUGCCCUAUCAACUUUCGAUGGUAGGAUAGUGGCCUACCAUGGUGGCAACGGGUAACGGGGAAUUAGGGUUCGAUUCCGGAGAGGGAGCCUGAGAAACGGCUACCACAUCCAAGGAAGGCAGCAGGCGCGCAAAUUACCCAAUCCCGAUACGGGGAGGUAGUGACAAUAAAUACUGAUACGGGGCUCUUUUGGGUCUCGUAAUUGGAAUGAGAACAAUUUAAAUCCCUUAACGAGGAACAAUUGGAGGGCAAGUCUGGUGCCAGCAGCCGCGGUAAUUCCAGCUCCAAUAGCGUAUAUUAAAGUUGUUGCAGUUAAAAAGCUCGUAGUUGAACCUUGGGUCUGGCUGGUCGGUCCGCCUCACCGCGAGUACUGAUCCGGCUGGACCUUUCCUUCUGGGGAACCUCAUGGCCUUCACUGGCUGUGGGGGGAACCAGGACUUUUACUGUGAAAAAAUUAGAGUGUUCAAAGCAGGCCUUUGCUCGAAUACAUUAGCAUGGAAUAAUAGAAUAGGACGUGCGGUUCUAUUUUGUUGGUUUCUAGGACCGCCGUAAUGAUUAAUAGGGAUAGUCGGGGGCGUCAGUAUUCAGCUGUCAGAGUGAAACUUCUUGGAUUUGCUGAAGACUAACUACUGCGAAAGCAUUCGCCAAGGAUGUUUUCAUUAAUCACGCAACGAAAGUUACGGAUCGGAGACGAUCAAAUACCGGUCGUAGUGCUUAACUCAUAAAC